Molecule: ribosomal RNA, 253 nt
Filed under: uncultured bacterium
Lineage: Bacteria
Description: partial 16S ribosomal RNA
Rfam family: Bacterial small subunit ribosomal RNA
Source: RNAcentral
UACGAAGGGGGCGAGCGUUGUUCGGAUUUACUGGGCGUAAAGGGCGCGCAGGCGGCUCUGGAAGUCAGAUGUGAAAGCCCAGGGCUCAACUCCGGAAUUGCCAUUGAAACUGUUGAACUCGAGGACGAGAGAGGUGAGUGGAAUUCCCAGUGUAGAGGUGAAAUUCGUAGAUAUUGGGAAGAACACCGGUGGCGAAGGCGGCUCACUGGCUCGUUUCUGACGCUCAGGCGCGACAGCGUGGGGAUCAAACAGG